Long non-coding RNA from Cannabis sativa, 291 nucleotides. RefSeq lists it as uncharacterized. Lineage: Eukaryota; Viridiplantae; Streptophyta; Magnoliopsida; Rosales; Cannabaceae. The record is from RefSeq and is a predicted model, not a curated record. The transcript is spliced from 2 exons.
UUCCCCAGUCUUUCUCUUUUACACACUUACGUGCCUACAUACAUGAAUUUAUAUAGGGAAAUUUGAUUUUCUAUACUUAGAAAAUCAAAAAAUUUGAUUUCUAAACCAAUAAUUUAAACCCUAAAAAAACUAUACUUUUUUUUUUCAAAACCCCAAAAAUACCCCCAAACUAAAACUAUCUCUCUUUCUCUCUCUAUCUAGCCGGUCCCAAGAAUCCCACACCCCAGGUCCGACCAUCGGACCUCUCUCUUCCCCUCUCUCUCAAAUCGCAGGAAAAAAAAAAAAUUAAAA